This 204-nucleotide long non-coding RNA is filed under the name Mytilus galloprovincialis (Mediterranean mussel). The record is from RNAcentral. Lineage: Eukaryota; Metazoa; Mollusca; Bivalvia; Mytilida; Mytilidae.
CAGAAACCUAUGCUGUGUCAACUAUUUAAUCACAAUCCAAAUUUAGAGCUGAAUCCAGCUUGAAUGUUGUGUCCAUACUUGCCCCAACCGUUCAGGGUUCAACCUCUGCGGUCGUAUAAAGCUACGCCCUGCGGAGCAUCUGGUUAACAAUUUUCAUAAAAUUUGUAAAUUUUUAUUAACAUUUUCCACUGAAACUACUGGGCC